Molecule: long non-coding RNA, 2389 nt
Organism: Triplophysa dalaica
Lineage: Eukaryota; Metazoa; Chordata; Actinopteri; Cypriniformes; Nemacheilidae
Exons: 5
Source: RefSeq, a predicted model, not a curated record
UAACCUUUUCAGAAAGGCGCAAGCGCACUGCAGGUCAUGUGACAAGAACCGACCAGCCGAUAUAGACAAGAUCAGUGAAGGAGGAGACAGAUGAUCACAACAGUACCACAGUAAUCGUGAGGUGUUUUCACUGUAUAUAAUCCAUAUGUCAUUUUUUAUACCUCCUCCAUCCAUGGUUGCUAAGCGACGACAGACGCAUAACGCACUUUAAGUUUUUGAUGAUUUCACUUUUAUUAAGUAGAUUUAAGUACUGUAUUGACUAGUUCUGACUAAAUUGGGAUCAUCACGGGGCAUCGGUAAGAAUGCAGAAGUCCAAAGUCCAAUCACAAUUUUAAUGUAAGGGUGUGGUUUUCUAUAAUAAACAGAAAUUCGAAUAAUCAGUUUACAGCAAUAAAUGAUAAACAUUUAAAUCAAAAAGAAUAAACACGUGGAGACACAUAGCUAUAAAUGUAAACAAUUGACUAUGAAUGUACACGUGACGAUCGUCUAUAACAAUAUCUCAACGAGUGUAAUCUUCACCAUCCACAUAAAUAUGUCUUAAUGACAUCUGUAAAGUACGGAAGUUCUAAGAGGCCAAUGCGUUAUAAUAUUUUUUCUCGUGAUCACGAUUUAAUUUUCUUGUGAUCUCGACAUAACAAACGUUGUUUUCUCCUUAUUACGAGUUACCCAGUAAACAAUUAGCGUCUUUCAACGUUGAAAUAUGGUUGAAAAUAAGUCGGUCCGCCUUGGACUGGUUUACGACGUGAUUUCAACUAAGUAGUUUAGGCUGGACUGUUUGACUACGUGUUUUCAACUGAUCAUGUUUUCAAUUGAUAAUCUAAACACAGCAAGAUAAUCUGUUAUACAUGCUAAAACAAUGGAGAAAACAAAUUACCAAACCAUGUUCAUUAUUAUCUUAAAUAAAUGUAAAGAGUUUUACAUAUUCCGUCAAAGUUAUAAAAACAUUGAAACUUGAGGCGCAAUGAGGAUUCAUACAUUGCAAUAAUUACCCCACCCCACCAGGUGGCGGAAAUGCAACAUUAAAGAUGGUUGCCAAUCGCCAUAAAACCGAAAGAAGAAGCGAAGAGGCGCGUGAUUGUUGCGGGAAAAAAGCCCAACCAACCGCCAGAUUCCAGAAAGCUCUUCACGACGGGAAAGCAGCUGUGUCAAAAUACCAGAAGUCAGUGCUUGGAAAGCUAGUUGAACUUCUUGAUGAGAUAUAAAGAGUCGGAAGGCACUAUGAGCCGCUGAAUUCUGCUGUCCAUGUUGCUAGGCUAGAAACCUUUGAAGAUUUUGCUGAAGAAGAGGCACGUCUCAAGGAACGCAAGCUCUGGGAACAAAGGGUGUCCCAGCUCUCAAAGGUGGGAGGGAGGAAUAACAAAGACUGCGUCCAUAAAGUAAUGGACAGGCUUUUCACCAACAGCCUAAUGGCUGCUUUCAACAUGAUGGGGCGGGGUCCCAGUGAGAAAAAAGCCUUCCAGGAUACCGUUCUUUACUCUGUGGUAAAAGGUUACCGCAGGAUGCAGUUCAUGCCCAGACCUGAUGGCAGAGCUGAGAAUGGGAAGCGGUGACCUGACAAGUGCUAAGAGGAUAGAGCUGGAUAAAGGACGCGACAACUUUGUUUUUUUCUACAACAUUUCAAAUGCUAUUAGAUUGUUAAUGAUAAUCUUUAAUUUUUAUAUUUUUAUUAAGCCUUGUUGUGCAAGCACUGAUGAGCUUGUGCAGAGGCAGCAGCUUUUGCCAGAGGGGAACUGGAAUCCCCUGGUUGGGCCUGGGUUCCCCUGAGGUUUUUUUUCUCGAUGGGAGUUUUGGGUUCCUCACCACCGUUUGCAUAUUGUUUUGCACUAUCUGCCUGGCCGGGGGGGCUGCUUUAGAAUUCAUACUUGUAUUAAAUGUGUCUCAUGUACAGCUGCUUUGUAACAAUGAAAAUUGUAAAAAGCGCUAUAUAAAUAAAGUUGAGUUGAGUUGAGUUAUAUAAUAUAUUAGUUUCACCUGUUAAGUUGAAUUCCUGAAAUUAACUUUUUCAUGACAUUCUAAUUUGAGAAGCACCUGUAUAUAUCUAAUUUAGCUUACCAAUUGUAUUUCUUUUGGGAGGGUAUGCAAAUCCAUGCAAUUGUUAAUUGAUAAAAUGUAAAUACAAUGUGUAGUAGGGGCCUUAAUGAUGCAAGACGUGGUUUAUUCAUGCACCCUCUAAUAUAUUUUCUUUUGCAGCCAAAGUAAUGAAGUGGAGUAAAACCGCCACAGAAGUGGAAAUCAGGGCUGCCAUGGCUAAGACACUUUAACAUGCUCCAGGGAGAGCUGGAGGUGGAGGUCGCAAAGUGUGAACAUUUAUUGUACAUUUUCUUUUUUUAGAGUUGUGAUUUGUUGACUCUUGGAAAGUGAACUGUGUUGGUUACUGGACCGACCUAUG